RNAcentral lists this ribosomal RNA (497 nucleotides) under uncultured bacterium. RNAcentral describes it as "partial 16S ribosomal RNA". It matches the Rfam family "Bacterial small subunit ribosomal RNA", at positions 28 to 507 of the family's 1533-position model. The record is from RNAcentral.
GAUGAACGCUGGCGGUGUGCCUAAUACAUGCAAGUCGAGCGAACAGACGAUGAGCUUACUCCCCUGACGUUAGCGGCGGACGGGUGAGUAACACGUGCAUAACCUACCUCUAAUACUGGGAUAACUUCGUGAAACCGGAUCUAAUAACGGAUCACAUGAUGAACCGCAUGGUUCAACAGUGAAAGACGGUCUUGCUGUCUCUAUUAGAUGGAUCCGCGUCGCAUUAGCUAGUUGGUAAGGUAACGGCUUACCAAGGCUACGAUCCGUAGCCGACCUGAGAGGAUGAUCGGCCACACUGGAACUGAGACACGGUCCAGACUCCUACGGGAGGCAGCAGUAGGGAAUCUUGGACAAUGGGCGAAAGCCUGACGGAGCCACGCCGCGUGAGUGAAGAAGGUCUUCGGAUCGUAAAACUCUGUUAUUAGGGAAGAACAACUGUGUAAGUAACUCUGCACGUCUUGACGGUACCUAAACAGAAAGCCCCGGCUAACUUCGUG